Molecule: long non-coding RNA, 714 nt
Organism: Astatotilapia calliptera (eastern happy)
Lineage: Eukaryota; Metazoa; Chordata; Actinopteri; Cichliformes; Cichlidae
Source: Ensembl
CAAAUUCAAAUUUUAUUUGUCACGUACACAGUCAUACACAGUACGAUAUGCAGUGAAAUGCUUGGACAACUGCUCGUGACCUAAAGAAAACAAAAAAGGAAAAGGCUAUGAAUAAGAUAGGAAAUAAAUAUGAAAAAUUAAAAAGGGUAAAUUUAACUAGGAAGGAAUAAGAUAUAAAUUAAGGUUAAAAAUGAAAUAACUGUACAACACAAAUUAGAAUGAAGGGUAAAUUUAACUGGGAAGAAUAAGAUAAAAUAUAUAAAUUAAAGUUAAAAAUGAAAUAACUGUACAACACAAAUUAGAAUGAAGGGUAAAUUUAACUGGGAAGAAUAAGAUAAAAUAUAUAAAUUAAAGUUAAAAAUGAAAUAACUGUACAACACAAAUUAGAAUGAAAGGUAAAUUUAACUGGGAAGAAUAAGAUAAAUAUAUAAAUUAAAGUUGAAAAUAAAAUAACUGUACAACAAAAUACACAAUACACAAUAUAGAACUAUAUAAGAAUGUAUGAAGAAAUCUAAAUAUAAAUAAAUAUAUACACAAUAACAGCAGCUGUACAAGUAUUAACCGGAAAUGAAGAAUAUAGUGACCAGUGUUGUGCAAAACCAAAGUCCAGAAAGUCCAGUGUGUGUAAGAACCAUAUGUGUGGGUCAGUACUGUGUGGUGGUGUGAUUGAGAGACCGUAUCGCCUGCGGGAAGAAGCUCCUCCUCAGUCUCUCU